Molecule: ribosomal RNA, 253 nt
Filed under: uncultured bacterium
Lineage: Bacteria
Description: partial 16S ribosomal RNA
Rfam family: Bacterial small subunit ribosomal RNA
Source: RNAcentral
GACGGGGGAUGCAAGUGUUAUCCGGAAUCACUGGGCGUAAAGCGUCUGCAGGUGGUUUCCUAAGUCCACUGUUAAACCUUGAGGCUCAACCUCAAAUCUGCAUUGGAAACUAGGAGACUUGGGUAUAGUAGGGGUAGAGGGAAUUUCCAGUGGAGCGGUGAAAUGCGUAGAUAUUGGAAAGAACACCGAUGGCGAAGGCACUCUACUGGGCUAUUACUGACACUCAGAGACGAAAGCUAGGGGAGCAAAUGGG